This 88-nucleotide microRNA precursor is filed under the name Podarcis lilfordi (Lilford's wall lizard). The record is from RNAcentral. Lineage: Eukaryota; Metazoa; Chordata; Lepidosauria; Squamata; Lacertidae.
UAAAUGGGACAGGGUGUACUCCUGGAUUCUACCUUGUCUACCUUCCAGACAAGGUAGAAUCCAGGAGUACACCCUGUCAGUGGUCCUG